CAGCCGCCGCGGUAAUACGGAGGGUGCAAGCGUUAUCCGGAUUUAUUGGGUUUAAAGGGUCCGUAGGCGGAUCUGUAAGUCAGUGGUGAAAUCUCACAGCUUAACUGUGAAACUGCCAUUGAUACUGCAGGUCUUGAGUAAAUUUGAAGUGGCUGGAAUAAGUAGUGUAGCGGUGAAAUGCAUAGAUAUUACUUAGAACACCAAUUGCGAAGGCAGGUCACUAAGAUUUAACUGACGCUGAUGGACGAAAGCGUGGGGAGCGAACAGGAUUAGAUACCCCAGUAGUCCCUGUCCCUUAUAC
Molecule: ribosomal RNA, 301 nt
Filed under: uncultured bacterium
Lineage: Bacteria
Description: partial 16S ribosomal RNA
Rfam family: Bacterial small subunit ribosomal RNA
Source: RNAcentral